Long non-coding RNA from Humulus lupulus (European hop), 1590 nucleotides. RefSeq lists it as uncharacterized. The transcript has 7 exons. NCBI's taxonomy places the organism in Eukaryota, Viridiplantae, Streptophyta, Magnoliopsida, Rosales, Cannabaceae. The record is from RefSeq and is a predicted model, not a curated record.
UGACUAGUUCUCAAUUUUUGAAAUUAAAGGAAAUUUAGCUAUAUUUAAAAAAAAAGUUUUCUAUUUUCGUGUGAUUUGUUGGGAGGGAUUCCACCAAGCAAGUUUGUUUCCUUUUCAUUAAUUUAAACCACUGCUAGGGUUGCCCGUUGUAUGAGAAAAAUCAUGGAAAGGGCAUAGAAAAGGUAGAGAGGUUUUGGUGAGUUUUCUUGAGAUCCUAGAGAGAGAAAGUGAAGAUUUUUGGUUUAAUACACUUGGAAAAAUUAUGGGCUUCUGUGAGUGUUCUUUAGUGUCUAAGAACAACAUUGGACUUGACAAAAUUUAUGUUUUUGGAAGAUUUCGGAUCUAAGGGAACAUGAGAGGUUCUGGGAUUGUUUGAAGUGUUUAGAAAUCUUAGAGAGACCCUAAAAAGUGUUUUGGAUGGGAACAAACGGAUCAAAAAGUUGUGAAACAAAAUUAUGCAUUUUGACUACCAUUUUUUGUGGUACAACAGGGACGGGGAAGAAGGUGGCGAUCUGGCUACUUUGCUUUGAAUUUUUUGUGCUUCAGGGGUUGGUUGAGGAGCUGGGAUCUUUGGGAACAACUUCCAACCAGUUUGGGGUGUAAAAAUUAAGUGGAAAGAUGAGAUAGAAUCUGAUCGUCGACGAAGAAGUAGAAGAUUUCGACGAGCACGACUCAACCCUGCUACAUGAGCUAUAUUCUCAAGCAAAUAUCUUGUCUUGAAAAGAAUUUGGAUAUCAGAUUGGGUGUAGUCACCAUAGAAACUAAACCUGGUCUAACUGAAGAUGACAUGCAAAUCAUUAGAGAUUUGAUCGACUCUGCUAUAGUAGAUAGCAAUGUUCAGGGUGGUCUGAGAUGGCCCUUAGGGAAGAAUGUUUCUGGUGAUAAAUUUUAUGUAUGUUCAGUCAGGCACAUAACCCGUAAAGUAUACAAAAAUUCAUCGUUGAAGCUGAAGAUCAGAAGGACAUCUCUUGACUAUCCAAGAUGGGGAAAUGGAAUACAGAGUUUAACUUAUGUGCUUGCUGGGGUUGUUGCUGUUGAGGUCACUAGAGGUCCAACUAUUGACUUCGUUCCAUGAACAAUCUUCAAAUAAUCAGUUCCUAGUGUCACCUCCAGCUAUCCAACUUUGAACAGUUAACAGCUGCCACCUCAACCUCCAGGUCCACCUCCACAUCCAGUUAUGCCCCAAGGUCCACCUCCAGGUCCACUGCCAUACGCUUCGUCUUGGAGGCCUGAGUCCAGUUCGUCUGAAUUCCCUCUUGUGCAGAUUCAACAAGUGAAGUGCAAAAGAAAAUCUGAUUUGGAAGGCUUUGGUGUUCUUACAUUUGGAAGAUCAUGAAUUCCUACUUUUACUUUUGAAUAUGCAACUGUUUAAGAAUAUUUUGUUGACUAUUGUGAGAAUGUUUUGUUUAUGUUAAUUAGGUAGUGUUGAAUAUCUCAAGACUUUUAGAUUGUAUUUUAGAUAAUCUUGAAUGUAUUUUGACACAAUUAUUUGGUUAUAUGUGUUAUGAACCAUAUAAUUGGUACUCAAAAAUAUAUUUGUACAAUGUUAAGGGUGUCUUAAGUAUAUUAAAUGAAGUGGGUUUGAAUUAA